AAAGACUAAGGGUUUCUGAUCUACGUUCGACGAAUCAGAGUUAGUCGGAGCCUAAGGAUAACUGGGUGACUGGGAGUCCGAUGGUAAACUGGUUAAUAAUCCAGUACCUAUAAUACACGAGGUGAAGGGGUGACAGAGGAGUGACAGGUCUGCGUGCUGACGGAAUAGCACGUUAAAGGGUGUAGAUAAAUACUUGACAGGUAAAUCCGUCGAGUAUGUUGAACCUGAUAGUACCGAGAUCCGUAAGGAGAUUGGAAAAUGGCCGUAAACAUACUUUCAAGAAAAGCCUCUAAGCCGCUUGAGUGUAGAAUAGACCGUACCGUAAACCGACACAGGUAGUUGGGGAGAGGAUCUUAAGGUGCGCGAGAGAAUCAUGGCUAAGGAACUCGGCAAAAUAGCCCCGUAACUUAGGGAGAAGGGGUCCCACUGAGAGGUGGGCGCAGGAAGUGGCCCAGGCGACUGUUUACCAAGAACACAGGGCUAUGCAAAAUUGAAAGAUGAAGUAUAUAGCCUGACACCUGCCCGGUGCCGGAAGGUUAAAGGGAGGGGUUAUCUAUCGCAAGAUGGAGAAGCUCUGAACUGAAGCCCCGGUAAACGGCGGCCGUAACUAUAACGGUCCUAAGGUAGCGAAAUUCCUUGUCGGGUAAAUUCCGACCUGCACGAAUGGUGUAACGAUCUGGGCGCUGUCUCAGCCAUGAGCUUGGUGAAAUUGAAGUAGCGGUGAAGAUGCCGCUUACCUACCGCGGGACGGAAAGACCCCGUGAACCUUCACUGCAACUUAGUAUUGGGUCUGGGUAUAAGAUGUGUAGGAUAGGUGGGAGACUAUGAAGCUGUGGCGCCAGCUACAGUGGAGUCGACGUUGAAAUACCACCCUUCUUAUACUUGGGUUCUAAUCCACGUAAAGUGGAGACAGUGCUAGGUGGGUAGUUUGACUGGGGUGGUCGCCUCCAAAAGAGUAACGGAGGCUUCCAAAGGUACCCUCAGCACGGACGGCAAUCGUGCGAUGAGUGUAAUGGCACAAGGGUGCUUGACUGAGAGACAAACAAGUCGAUCAGGGACGAAAGUCGGGCAUAGUGAUCCGGUGGUUCUGUAUGGAAGGGCCAUCGCUCAAAGGAUAAAAGGUACUCCGGGGAUAACAGGCUGAUCACUCCCAAGAGCUCACAUCGACGGAGUGGUUUGGCACCUCGAUGUCGGCUCGUCACAUCCUGGGGCUGGAGAAGGUCCCAAGGGUUCGGCUGUUCGCCGAUUAAAGUGGCACGCGAGCUGGGUUCAGAACGUCGCGAGACAGUUCGGUCCCUAUCUGCGGUAGGCGUUGGAAUCUUGAGAAGAGUCAUCCUUAGUACGAGAGGACCGGGAUGAACAUACCUCUAGUGUACCUGUUGUAGUGCCAACUACAUAGCAGGGUAGCUAUGUAUGGUAAGGAUAAGCACUGAAAGCAUAUAAGUGCGAAGCCAACUUCAAGAUUAGGAUUCCUUUGAGGGUCGUUAGAGACGAUGACGUUGAUAGGCUGCAGGUGUAAUCGCAGUAAUGCGUUUAGCCAAGCAGUACUAAUUACCCAAAGCUUCCUCC
Molecule: ribosomal RNA, 1569 nt
Filed under: metagenome
Description: bacterial LSU rRNA
Rfam family: Bacterial large subunit ribosomal RNA
Source: RNAcentral